AGUUUUUCGAAUCCGUGCAGAGAUUUAGUCAGACACCAACACAUCAGGGCUGAUAGGACUUCCAAGAUAAGUGAAGUU
Molecule: microRNA precursor, 78 nt
Filed under: Schistosoma mattheei
Lineage: Eukaryota; Metazoa; Platyhelminthes; Trematoda; Strigeidida; Schistosomatidae
Description: mir-3492 microRNA precursor family
Rfam family: mir-3492 microRNA precursor family
Source: Rfam by way of RNAcentral